GACGAACGCUGGCGGCGUGCUUAACACAUGCAAGUCGAACGGAAAGGCCCUGCUUUUGUGGGGUGCUCGAGUGGCGAACGGGUGAGUAACACGUGAGUAACCUGCCCUUGACUUUGGGAUAACUUCAUGAAACUGGGGCUAAUACCGGAUAGGAGCUCCUGCUGCAUGGUGGGGGUUGGAAUGUUUCGGAGGUUGGGGAUGGACUCGCGGCUUAUCAGCUUGUUGGUGGGGUAGUGGCUUACCAAGGCUUUGACGGGUAGCCGGCCUGAGAGGGUUACCGGCCACAGUGGGAUUGAGAUACGGCUCAGACUCCUACGGAAGGCAGCAGUGGGGAAUAUUACGCAUUGGGCGGAAACCUGAGGCAGCAACGCCGCGUGCGGGAUGACGGCCUUCAGGUUGUAAACCGCUUUCGCCUGUGACGAAGCGUGAGUGACGGUAAUGGGUAAAGAAGCACCGGCUAACUACGUG
RNAcentral lists this ribosomal RNA (468 nucleotides) under uncultured bacterium. RNAcentral's name for it is "partial 16S ribosomal RNA". It matches the Rfam family "Bacterial small subunit ribosomal RNA", at positions 28 to 507 of the family's 1533-position model. The record is from RNAcentral.